Molecule: ribosomal RNA, 425 nt
Filed under: uncultured bacterium
Lineage: Bacteria
Description: partial 16S ribosomal RNA
Rfam family: Bacterial small subunit ribosomal RNA
Source: RNAcentral
GUGGGGAAUCUUGCGCAAUGGGCGAAAGCCUGACGCAGCCAUGCCGCGUGAAUGAUAAAGGUCUUAGGAUUGUAAAAUUCUUUCACCGGGGACGAUAAUGACGGUACCCGGAGAAGAAGCUCCGGCUAACUUCGUGCCAGCAGCCGCGGUAAUACGAAGGGGGCUAGCGUUGCUCGGAAUUACUGGGCGUAAAGGGCGCGUAGGCGGACAGCUUAGUCAGAGGUGAAAGCCCAGGGCUCAACCUUGGAAUUGCCUUUGAUACUGGCUGUCUUGAGUUUGGGAGAGGUGAGUGGAACUCCGAGUGUAGAGGUGAAAUUCGUAGAUAUUCGGAAGAACACCAGUGGCGAAGGCGACUCACUGGCCCAAUACUGACGCUGAGGCGCGAAAGCGUGGGGAGCAAACAGGAUUAGAAACCCGAGUAGUCC